GAGUCAGUUUCCUAGAGAAGCUGUGUCAAGAGGACGAAAAGGCCAGCAUCUGUCAGAACUGAUGCAUUACCUUGGUAUGUCCAAAUUUGUACUGAGUGUGGUCAAUAUCAAUGGAUGCCAGAAGCUUUUCACAGGCUUUCUUGCUGUCAAUGAAUUGUCCCUCAGGGAUUGCACUGGCAUUCAGCACUCGGUAUCUGCAUUGUAGACAUGGAAAUCAUCACAGACUGUUGGCAAAGACACAAACCUUGGAGAACAUGUAGUUCAGGCCUCUCUUCCUAUAGGCAGAAGGCCAAGGUCCCAGGAGAUGAGGGAACUAGCUCGGAGUCACAUUGCUAGAGAGCAGUCUAGAAUCUAGAUCUCUUGACUCUUCAGUCAGAGCUUUUCCUGCCAUUUUGUAUAUCAGAUAAAUUCCAGAGAAAAACAUGGAAGAAACAAAUAUAUAUAACUUGGCCAAAUGGUAGAUUGUUCAGUUUACAUGGAGGUCCAUAUCUGUUCUUUCGAAAUAGGUCUUUUCAUACGAAUCUUUCUCCCUCUCAAAUUCCAGUGUUCGUACAUCUCAUCCCCAAGCAUAUAGAACAUGUUUAUUACACACCUUUGUUUAAAAUCGCCAUAGAGAAUCCUGUUUGGGAACCCUUUCCUGCAGAUGCGGAUGCCCUCCAGGACACCGUUACACCGCAGCUGGUGCAGAACAAGGCUGUGUUCCAUAGCCCCUGGGAACAGAAGCGAGAUAUCAGCCUUACACAGAAUUUCUUAAAAACUGAGCACCACCUAGCGAGCCAGCAGGUGUCUCACCUGGAGUUUUGGUUUCAUUGGGAAUUAUACAACGCACAAAAUGAGGGGCAGAGACAGUUUGGAAGGAAGAACCCUUCUUCUUGGCAACUUUCUUCUUUCCACUGUCAGCUGAAAGCAAUAAGGGAGGGCACGUGCUGUAGGUGAAUCUAAAAGGUUUUUUGUUACUGUGGAACAAAUGGAGGGAAAUCACAUGGACACAAAGCACUCCUCUUACCAUCCGCCGUGGCAAACGUGGC
This 1028-nucleotide long non-coding RNA is filed under the name Homo sapiens (human). Its description in RNAcentral is "HSALNT0237120". The record is from RNAcentral. Lineage: Eukaryota; Metazoa; Chordata; Mammalia; Primates; Hominidae.